RNAcentral lists this transfer RNA (81 nucleotides) under Desmophyllum pertusum. Its description in RNAcentral is "tRNA-Gln". Lineage: Eukaryota; Metazoa; Cnidaria; Anthozoa; Scleractinia; Caryophylliidae. The record is from RNAcentral.
GACGCGGUGGCCUAAUGGUUAGCGUGUUGGACUCUGGAUCGAGCGGUCCGGGUUCAAGCGCCGAUCGGGCUCACUGUGUCG